This 76-nucleotide non-coding RNA is filed under the name unclassified sequences. The record is from RNAcentral.
AGGGGCGCGAAAACGCCCCCUUUCCUAAAACCGCCGUCGCCCGUCCAAAGCCGGGAUGUGAAAGGUUGAUGGGGAA